UACGGAGGGUGCGAGCGUUGUCCGGAAUUACUGGGCGUAAAGAGCGCGUAGGCGGCGCGGUACGACCGCUGUGAAAGCCCCCAGCUCAACUGGGGAGGGUCAGCGGUAACGGCCGUGCUAUGAGUGCAGGAGAGGGAAGUGGAACUCCGGGAGUAGCGGUGAAAUGCGUAGAGACCCGGAGGAACACCAGUGGCGAAGGCGGCUUCCUGGUCUGCGACUGACGCUGUGGCGCGAAAGCUAGGGGAGCAAACGGG
RNAcentral lists this ribosomal RNA (254 nucleotides) under uncultured bacterium. RNAcentral's name for it is "partial 16S ribosomal RNA". It matches the Rfam family "Bacterial small subunit ribosomal RNA", at positions 524 to 776 of the family's 1533-position model. The record is from RNAcentral.